This 1045-nucleotide long non-coding RNA is filed under the name Heterocephalus glaber (naked mole-rat). Its description in RNAcentral is "lncRNA (ENSHGLG00000033200.1)". The record is from RNAcentral. Lineage: Eukaryota; Metazoa; Chordata; Mammalia; Rodentia; Bathyergidae.
CCGCCAUCCCGCUGGCGAGAGCGAGAGAGAGGCCCGCCUGCUCGCCGGCCAGGCCAGUGUGGGCGAGUGCGUGAAGGCGCGGGGGACCGUGUCAGCGAGACGCAGAGCGCAGCCACCACCCCCAAACGGACAUGUUGGAGCCCAGCGCCGCCGCCGCCUCCUUUUCCUCGCCCAGCGAACGGGACUGAGAAGGAGCCCGCCACCCCUCCGCCUCUGCCUCUGCUCGGCCGCCCGCCUCGCCGUCUCGGCCUCAGCCGCUUCCUGCCCGGCCUCGGGCUCCGCCACUCGUCGUCUUCCCCGUCGGUUCCCGGCCCCGCUCCGCCGCGGCGCGAGGUCUAUGUGACCGGCGGGCCGGGAGCAGCCACCGCCGCAACGCGAACAUGGACGCCGUCAACGCCUUCAACCAGGAGACAUGGUCUUAUAAAGUUACCCAGGCUGGCCUCAAACUUUUGAUUCUCCUGCCUCAGCCUCCUGAGUAGCUGGGAUUACAGCUCUUUUCACUUAUGGAUAUGAAACCUCCCAUCUCUAGAGCCAAGAUGAUUCUCAUCACUAAAGCUGCUAUUAAAGCUAUUAAGGUAAGUGUAAAAUAAAUACAUUUAAUUUAGAAAUGUUCUUGAAAUUUUGAAAAUGUUAUUUAAUGAGAUUUCAUUUUGUGAGUUUCAGGCCUGAAUCAAAGCAUUAGAACACUACUCAGCUUUUGCUUAAGGUUUACUACAGUGCAUUUAUUUGCAUUGUAAUGUAUUGUUUCAAAAAGUUUCUUUAUUUUAUUUAAUCCUAGUUAUAAACCAACAAUUAGCUUCCCUCUUAUUAAAAAACUUUUUAAAAGCCCUCAGUCUGCAUGAAAUUAAAUGUCCUAUCUGGGAUUAAACUUAAUUUUAUAAACUGCAUUGCUUAGUUCUUACUCCAUUGUUCUUAAACUUUUUGUUAAGGUUGCCUGAUACCCUGCUUUAUCAAGUUUUAUUGAUUAAACAUUGAUGAAAAAGACCUUCAUGGGGGAGAGAGGGUUGUUUCGAUUUUUUUUUUUUUUCUGAUAUGUUAUUUAAGG